This 1189-nucleotide long non-coding RNA is filed under the name Macaca fascicularis (crab-eating macaque). RNAcentral's name for it is "lncRNA (ENSMFAG00000062307.1)". The record is from RNAcentral. Lineage: Eukaryota; Metazoa; Chordata; Mammalia; Primates; Cercopithecidae.
UUUUUUUUGUUUUGGUAGCAGGAAGAGAUAAGAUGUAAGUCCAUCCUGCAAGUUUUGCUGCCACCUCGCUGGCUGACCUUGCUAUUCAAGAGGGCACAGUGUGCACCUCGGUCAUGGGCUGUCCGCACGUCUGGAAUCUGGGGCCAGACUCUGGGGUGCAGGGGGGUAGAUGAUGCCUUGCUCUGAGAACUAACACAAUCCUCAGAUGUAUAUUCUCUAAAAAAGAAUAAUGACGAUGCCAUUAUAUUUUGGAAUACUUAAUCAUAUUUAGCAAAAAUUCUGAGACUAAUGUAAAAGUAUGGUAAUAAUGUAUUUUCUUUGAAAGAGAGGGAAGAAGUGGUUUAUGAAAUAAACAAGUCCUCUUCUAGGUAUUUUUAAAAAUACUCAACAGAUGUGGCAUAUAUAAUAAGAAAGGCUGGUGCAUCUGAUUUCUGAGCUCUCGUAAAGCACGAAGCAGGUUGAGAAAGGGUAAUGCAUGCUGACAAAUGCUCUUCAGACCUCUCGUCAUCAGACACCAGGGGAAGGAGACCCUCAAACCGGAGAAUUAUAAUUCAACAGAAACUGUCAUUUCCCCAGAUGUCAUGGGAGUAUUACAUGCAAAAACCAGCCCUGCAGUGAGUGGGCUUAAACUCAAACUUAAUUCUUCAAUACAGGACUCUUUACUGACUUGUUCUAAGUUUUCAGUGAUGAACCCAAAUAAGACUGAGCUUCAAGUGACAGGGUUCUGAGAAUCUUUGGAGUCAUUCUGUCCACUAAUCCUAAUAGAAUCAAUGUAGAUAACAGUCCCCAAACCUCAAUGGAUUAUUUAAAAGUGAACAGAUGUUACCUAAAAUAUCAGAAUCAAAAUUAUGUGUAAAACAUAUCCGGGUGUAUUGUGUAUGCAUCUAGACAUGUUUAUAUAUGUAUAUUAUUUUUUCUCUGCUCAAUAAAAUUAGCAGCAGUUACAGAUAAAUUAUUGUGGUCAUGAUUUGUGUGAUUUCUAAGGACAACAUAUAUCCCUUUAUCAACACAUGACUUUUGGAAAAUGCCUUCUCAUAAAAAGAUCCCCACCAAGCAUAUAACAUUAAAGUGUCAAUUCAUAUCACUAACAUUUUCAGGCACAAGAGUAAAACAAUUAGCAUGAAGCAAUCUGAAUGACGGAGCACAGAACAUAGUUAAUUGUCUAAAGUCAACCCUCCUAAAAGAAGGG